Long non-coding RNA from Gossypium raimondii (Peruvian cotton), 1566 nucleotides. RefSeq lists it as uncharacterized. The record is from RefSeq and is a predicted model, not a curated record. NCBI's taxonomy places the organism in Eukaryota, Viridiplantae, Streptophyta, Magnoliopsida, Malvales, Malvaceae. The transcript has 4 exons.
UGUACAAUUAAUAAAUGAUCUCAAUGUUUUGUACAUCUCUCUUACUCUCUAUUUCUUUAUGUUUCUUUGUAACAUCAGGUAGACUAUGCAUCUACACCUGAGGAAGUUCACCAGCAAUUCCAAUCUUGUGCUCAGGGUAACAAUUUUGACAGACAAGUUUGGUCAACCUGCCUAUGUUGAAUCUGUUGAAGUUGAUGCCGUUCAAAGUGCUCUACUGUUAAAUGAAUCAGAAUUGCAUGGUCAUCAGAUGCAGGUUCCUUCUCUGUUUACUUUGCAUUCGUACACUUAGCCUCAUAUAUUGCAACUUGGAGUGGUUUUAUGGGUUCAGUAUGUUUUACUCUGUUGAGUAUGCAUCGGACACGGGUGUUCCGCAUGAUUAAUAAAAAGAUCAACUGCUGCUGCCAAUAAAUUGAAGCAAGCCGGUUGCCGUAUAACAUGUAUAACAUCAGGGCUUCAAACUGUAAAACUAGGUACAUUUGAUUCCGUAGGUACAACUAAGUUGCAAGAUGUUGGCAAAGCUGGUUUGGUGAUGAGAAUUCAAGGCAAGAAUUCAGCUGUGCUCGGAACAGCACUCAUCUGCGCAUAUCUGUUUAUAACUUUGUUCCCAGAUCAAGCGGAGAAGCUGCUUCAGAUAAGUCUUGCAAGGUAGCCAUUGCAAAAUGAGCCCGUGUUAUAUUUUACCCAACUAACAUCCAAGGCAGUCCAAAAUGAGUCCUUCUCCCUGCCGCGAUAGUAAGAAAUGUCUAUGCAUCAACUUUAGAUUUGACCACCAAGAUGAUUCCUUACAAAAUUGCUUUAGCCAUCAAGCUGCCAAAUGAUUUUAUCGGCUCUCUAGGAGACCAGCUCAUGAAUAGAGAUGGUGUAUCUAAGAUCAUUAAGCAUCUCUUCCCAAUCGAAGAUUUCUUCUAAAGACAAGCCUCCAAGAGCAAUGGUCAUAUCUCUCAUCUACUGGAUAAUCAUGGACUGCAAUGAACCAUAUCUUCUCCUUUAUCUCUCGUUCUUUCUUUGGUUUCAAGAUUUCACUAUGGUUAUAAAUACAUUAUUUCUGAUAUUUAAAUUUCCAGCCAUAUAACUUAUUUCAUUGCUCUAAAAAUGUCAAAGGUACAAUUUUUUUAGUUCUUUUUUUCUUUAUUAGCAACCUAAACCACGAUUUUAACAGCAGAAGCAAUGUGUUGUGUCAAAGGUUCUUAGCUUGAAUAUAUUUAUUAGUUUAGGAAGAAGUUCUUAGCUUCUUCUUUAUUGCUCUAAAAAGUUUGUUUUUAUUGCUCUAAAAAUGUAAUAUAUUUAUUAGUUUGAAUAGGUGAUAAGCAGUGAAUCUGUCUUGGGUGGCUCUGCUGCAUCUGUAUCAACCUGGGAAUGUGUUGUGUCACCUGGGAGUGAUACUUGUGGAAGCGUGAGGCAGACAUUAUUUUGCGGCCAAGUUGGCUUGAAGCCUGAUUGCGCAUAGAAACUGUUUGAUAAAAUGCUUAAGAAAAGCUAGUGUCUAUUACUGCCUGACAUUGUUCAGCUCAGAUACUUGACAUAUUAAGUUGGCAAUUUUUUAUAAGGAAAAUCUUUAGGUUUUCA